UUUAUGCUACUCGCCUCAUCGCAUUUGCCAUGAGAUUCAAUUUCCUGAUUAUUAUGUUCUUCCGCUUCGUCUCUUAACUCUCAUCCCUAUCUGCAUCCUUCACCAUCUUUACUUUCUUCUCCAUUUACUUCCUUUCAUCAUCGUCUUCUUCAAUUUGAUGGCUAAGCUUACGAGUAAUGCCCUGUGCAUGAUUAAUUGGCUUGACGAGAGCACUGGUAGACCUAGCUCCGAUUUGGCAUGGUUGAGAUGAGCUGUUGAAGAUAAUGGAUUUGGCUUCUCUUCGACAUUUCUGUAAAAAGGAAGGAUUUGGACGACCAUCACGACAUGCGGAGAAUGAUAUGGAGAAUUGCCAUUCCUUGGAGCAUCGUAUCCCUUCAAUCGACAAAUCAAUAAACCUGAUAAACCAAUUAAAGAUGGGUCUUUCCAUUUGGAUCUGCUUGAGGCUGCAAGGAGCAGAAAAUAGCUAAUACCAUUCAAUCUGAGCUACACAAGUUUGAGAAUGGUGAUGGAUUUUCCAGGUCAGUUCGUGGCCUUAGAAAAACUGUAAUUGUUUCCCUGUUUUAUACACCGAGGAAAUCCAUUUUAUCCAUAGAAAAUAAAGAUCGCCAUUUAUAAGUAAAAAUGAAGACUGAGGAAGUCCCCGAAGUUUUUUUGCCAAAAAUCUGAGGCAAAGCGGUUGACUCGUUGGCUCAGCGCGCGAGUCCCACUAUGCUCAGAAAUCAAAGGAGGAAUUAUAUAAUACUUGGUACAACCCAUUUAUGACGUGUAGUGAAAAAUGUAAAACUGUGAAUUGAUUUUUUUUUUUCUCUUACUAAUUUUUUUUUAAAUUUCAGGUGUUAUAAUAUUAUCGACUACGAUUAAACCAUUCUACAUUCAACAGUUGUAUUGUAAGAUUUCUCAAAAUUGGGAGGUAAAGAUCCUUGAAUCAUUAGCUUCAACUCCCACCUCAUGGUAAUCUUGGAACACUCAACUUUUAAGCCUCUUUUCCAC
Molecule: long non-coding RNA, 990 nt
Filed under: Manihot esculenta (cassava)
Lineage: Eukaryota; Viridiplantae; Streptophyta; Magnoliopsida; Malpighiales; Euphorbiaceae
Description: long non-coding RNA (MESC_LNC005594)
Source: RNAcentral